CUUCUUUUUGAAAAAUCUAGAGAAGAGCCUUCCCCUUCGGGGGACAAAGUGACAGGUGGUGCAUGGUUGUCGUCAGCUCGUGUCGUGAGAUGUUGGGUUAAGUCCCGCAACGAGCGCAACCCUUAAGCUUAGUUGCCAUCAUUAAGUUGGGCACUCUAGGUUGACUGCCGGUGACAAACCGGAGGAAGGUGGGGAUGACGUCAAAUCAUCAUGCCCCUUAUGAUUUGGGCUACACACGUGCUACAAUGGACAAUACAAAGGGCAGCUAAACCGCGAGGUCAUGCAAAUCCCAUAAAGUUGUUCUCAGUUCGGAUUGUAGUCUGCAACUCGACUACAUGAAGCUGGAAUCGCUAGUAAUCGUAGAUCAGCAUGCUACGGUGAAUACGUUCCCGGGUCUUGUACACACCGA
This 409-nucleotide ribosomal RNA is filed under the name uncultured Staphylococcus sp. RNAcentral describes it as "bacterial SSU rRNA". It matches the Rfam family "Bacterial small subunit ribosomal RNA", at positions 985 to 1393 of the family's 1533-position model. Lineage: Bacteria; Bacillati; Bacillota; Bacilli; Caryophanales; Staphylococcaceae. The record is from RNAcentral.